CAACCUCAACUCAUAUGGGACUCCCCCCCUGAAUUUAAGCAUAUUAAUUAGGGGAGGAAAAGAAACUACCAAGGAUUUUCUUAGUAGCGGCGAGCGAAAAGAAAACAGUUCAGCACUAAGUCACUUUGUCUAUAUGGCAAAUGUGAGAUGCAGUGUAUGGAGCGUCAAUAUUCUAGUAUGAGAAAUUAAUGAUUUAAGUCCUUCUUAAAUGAGGCCAUUUACCCAUAGAGGGUGCCAGGCCCGUAUAACGUCAAUGAUUGCUAGAUGAUGUUUCCAAAGAGUCGUGUUGCUUGAUAGUGCAGCACUAAGUGGGUGGUAAACUCCAUCUAAAACUAAAUAUAACCAUGAGACCGAUAGUAAACAAGUACCGUGAGGGAAAGUUGAAAAGAACUCUGAAUAGAGAGAAAAACAGUACGUGAAUCUGCUUAGAGGUUAAGCCCGAUGCACCUGAAUAUCCGUUAUGGAAAAUUCAUCAUUAAAACUGUGCCUGGCG
This 493-nucleotide non-coding RNA is filed under the name Drosophila sechellia. RNAcentral's name for it is "Eukaryotic large subunit ribosomal RNA". It matches the Rfam family "Eukaryotic large subunit ribosomal RNA", at positions 1 to 475 of the family's 3401-position model. The record is from Rfam by way of RNAcentral. Lineage: Eukaryota; Metazoa; Arthropoda; Insecta; Diptera; Drosophilidae.